Molecule: non-coding RNA, 13628 nt
Organism: Rhopilema esculentum
Lineage: Eukaryota; Metazoa; Cnidaria; Scyphozoa; Rhizostomeae; Rhizostomatidae
Source: RefSeq, a predicted model, not a curated record
UCGUAACAUGUCAUUAAAACUACGUGUAUUGCGUUCAGCGAACCCUUUGCCUUGCAACGAUCGCCGCUUUUCGGUACCUAAGAUAUUACAAGUCUGUUUGAUUGUAGUGCCAUCAACAUAAAGAGCCUUCGUCACUGAGCAUGAAAAAUGGAGAUCCAUGGAUAUAGAUCCAAUGUGACAACAACGUAUUAGCAAUAAUAAGAGCCGUCUGAUCUUUAAGUGGUACAGCUUCAAUGUAUUUUGAGAAAACGUCACCGAUAGGGAGAAAAUAUUGAAAACCGUGAUUAUCCUUAGGCAUAAAAGCGAUAUCAAUUGCGAUAAAUUGCAUUGGUGCUUCAGGAAUUGCCAUGGGAGUAAGGGUGCUUUAGGCGGAGACGAAUCACAUUUAGUCUGUUGACAAAUCAGACACUGAGAUACAAAAUUAUGUACAUAGUCAUACAUAUUUGGCCAAAAAAAUCUGUCUUCAAGCAGCGAGUAUGUUUUAUCUGUUACGAGAUGGGCCAUUUGAUGUAUCUCGGUCACUGUGAAUUUUCUUACUGAGACUGGCACUACAGGUCGAGCGGAUUUUGUAACAGUGUCAUUCUCGACCCGAAGUUGAUUUCUAACACGUCACUGAGUCUACCCUGAACUACAGUUUCUCCAUUUUCGAUGAGUCUUUUAGUUUUACUUAUCACAGGGUCUGUACUUUGCUCCUGUUUUAAUUGGUCAACAAAAGCGGAACUGUCACUAUUUGUAGCGAAAACCUAGUCGUCGGAGAGUGAGUUUGGUUGAUUUGGGCACAGAAUAGAAAUAUUUCUUUCUAUUCUGUGAUUUGGGUUGGCAGCUGGGUUACGAGACAAAAAAUCGGUUUUUACAUUGUCCUUUCCUCGAACGUUUUACACGGUAUGAUUAUAUUCCUCUAACUUAGCUAUCCAGGGUCUAGAUUUGCCGAGUGGUAAAGCCUGGUUUUCACUAAAGUCAUGAGGAUCGUAUCGAUCACAAGAAACAUAAUUUUUAAGUCCGUGUCGCUUAUGUUUCUUAAAAUCCAAAUGAAAACGCCAUCGUUAAAAUGUCUUAAGGAUCGUAAGAUUUGAAAAUCCUUUGUUCUCAUAAUGUCAUAAGCGUCAUAAGUAUCGUAAAAGUAGUGAGAUUUCUUAUGAUUUGAAAGGGCGCUCUUCUCCCCGCCACUUGUUUGCAUGAAUCCAGCAUGGCUGCUACGAAUCUGCGUUUGUUCCUGGCAGUGUAUAUUCUAAUCAAAAGAUGAAGGCAUCGAAGAAAUGCACGUUAAAAAAAUACGAGGAAAGAAAAGGAGCUCUGAGCAAGGUGUUUUGCCAACUUGUAGUUUUUCGAAGACUAGUCUUACAAGCAGCUGAAUUUCACGAUAGAUAGUCUUUCCGCGCGAGAUAGAUCCAUUUUGUAUACAGAAAAUAAAUUUCAUGUUAAAGGGCCUCUCCAGCCAAAAUUUUUUUUUUUAUUGACCAAAAAGUUAGCAUCUGGUGCGUGUAUUAUGGUAAAGUUGUUGUUUUUGCAAAACCGAGAAACCGAGAAGUGGGCGACCAAAAACAAAUUGAUGUUAGAGGGGAACGACUUUGUCGGUUUUAUUUCACUGCGUUUGCACCCAGGGGCAGUAAAAGACAAGAAACUCGAAACUGGGCAAGGUUUUAUAGCUCAAAAUCCGUCCACAGAAAAUAUAAUGAGCGUUUUGAAAAAAAACAAAAGAAAAAUUUACUUGAGCAAACGAAAACUAUAUUUACAAAGAAUUAUUUCCAAACAAAAGAAAUUAAAGCUUUGACAAAGUCAGAGUAAAGUCCAAUUUUUAACAUCACUUAAAAAGUUUUACUUCAAAUGAAAAAGGUUACAAAUCGUGAUCCAAAUGGUGGUCCAAAGACCAGAGAAUCAUUAAUUAUAAGAGGUUUCCAGGCCUAAUACGAAAUUCCACAAGUAUUCGUUGGCCAAAUGUAUGGAUCCAUUUCAAGGAGGCUUUUUGCGGUUUCAUAAGUUUGCGGCUACCCGUCAAAUUAUUGAAAUUUGAAACUGUUAAAAGACGUUUUCUACUGUUAUUUUUAAAACAAAUGCUCUAAAUAGAUUGAAGUUUAGAUUGGUGGUUGUUUUGCUUUCGACCAAUUGCCGUUGGCCUUUUAAAAACAGAAUUAAUUUGCAUAACAAUAGCUUUCGAUCAUUCAUGCGCCAUUUCUUCUCCUUCGAGGUGAUGCAAUACUUUUGAUACCCUAGUUUAUAUUGUACUUUUAAUUACAUUUGAUGUAACUUUCAACAAUCUCACUCUAUCUUGAUGAUUAUUUUGUGAAGUGAAGUAUUUUUAUGUUUCUAAUGUUUAAAAGACAAGAACUGAAAAAUAAAAUAAAAUGCAAAGGUUAGAGGCAAAAUAUGUACUAUAGGUACAACUGCACUUUGACUACCCACUUCUUCGUCUCGUGGUCAGAAGUUGAAUUGAAUUACAAACUUUUCAAUCUAGCCUGGUUUCUGAAACAAUCGAACGUUGGAAGUUCAGCCAGUUCAGCCAGUCAAAGGUAAUGUGUCCAGCUAUAGCAAGCGACUCUGCAGGGGUUUUUAGAAACAUGUGAUUUUUCAUGUCAUCGUCCCAGCCAUUACAGUCAUUCUGUUUAUCUAACCUGCUGCGAGGUUAGCUUUUCAUGUGGGCAGUUUUGCAUCCCAAGAAUACUAACCAAUCGCAAGCCGUUAUUUUGAUGGGUGGCUUGACAAGUUGGGUAUGCGCAGUCCUUUUAUAUGGACACCAGUGGCGUGGUGGCAGAGGGGGCCAGGGGAGCCAUGCCCCCCCCUAAAUAGGGGCGCAAAUGGAGAUAAGAAGGCGCCAAAAUUGUUUGCUUGUAAUAAUUGACUAGGAACAUCAAAAUUGAUCGUACACGGGUAGAACACUUCGCUGUAACUUGCUGUGAACAAUCUAAUAAAACGUGUGAUUCUACAAUCGAAGCACGUUGCGCUGCCAUGACCCAAUCAAUAUUUGUGUCAUAUUUUUUCGUGUUUUCAAGAUUUUACGUAUGCCAAACAUGUUUUCUAUUAGUUUGCACUCCGAACGCAAAAAAGUCUGAUGGUACGCCACAGAUCUUCGGGCCUAAGUACAUUGAAUACCCCUGGCAAUCAAUACAGCAACUUCUUAGUUAUUAACAUCGUUGUGAACCAAAGGUCGCCAUUUAUUUCUUUAUCCAACGCAUGAGUCCUCCCCUCCCAAAUUUUUUCUAAAAAUCAAAAAUCGAUGUUUUUCUGAGCACCGUCGAGCUGUCUAUUCUGAGCGGUGUAGUAAUUUGUUAAAUUUUAGCCUGGGAGAUGCAUUUUCCAUCCUAGAAGGCUUGAUUUCCAAAAUUUUCUUUAGCGUCGGACCCAACCAUGGUGGAUCCUCCUUUGUAACUAAACUUGAUCCUUAGCGCGCUGCCUCUGUCCGAUUCAAUAGUGUGAUUCAAUGCUUGAAACUUUCAAGUUUUUGAAAGACUACUACUAUUUAAAAACUAUUAAAGAAUAACAAACUUGAGGCCAUAUUUGUAUAUCAUACAUCAUGUAUACGAUGACACUAGGCUGAUAAAAUCGCCCACAAGCAGUGGCGAAAUGGACUAAGGUUACUUUUGGUUAAAAAAACUAAGGAACCCGAAACAAAAGUUUGCUCUACGUUAUUUUACUCUGAAGCUUGUAUUCUGGAUAUAAUAAACGAGUAGCCUGUAUGAAACAUUAGUGUAAUUGAAUAUAAUGUCUUUUGAUUAGUAUUUUAUGUUAUCCCUACAGUAUUUUUUCCUCGAAAAUAGGCCGACUGUGGAAAAUAAGCCAAUUCAAAGUAGCCUGAUAUUUUUCCGAACCACGAUCGGAAGGUCAAGUGUUAGGGUUACAUAAAUUAUCCAUUCAUAUUCGUAUUUUAAGUCAAAAUAUAUUCAUGCAACUUUGUAUUCAAGUUGCAAAAAUCGAUUUCCCUUCUAGAAACACAUGCUUUUACAUAACCACGAUAUAUAGAUAGGGCGCAAAAAUUGACUUGGCCACCCCAGGGAAAACAUAGCCACCCCGCCACUGAUGGACACAUUACCUUUAAGGAUUCACUCUCGUACAAUUACAGCUGAACAUCAGUUUCAAUUUGGAUGACUUCGUUCUUUGAAUUAUUUUGGUGUCUGUUUUGUUGAAACUUGUUUGCAGGAAUCAUUUUCACACAAUCACGCCGUGAGAAAUGCUGAUCACAGGUCACGCGCGAAUGUCUGUCUACUCAAGCAUGCGUAACAUAUUUUUUACUAUGCUUUUAUUGCCUGGGCAAUACUCUAUCGAUUCGACAGUUAUUGGAGGAGGAUGGCUUAAAAUGCAAACCCGAUCAACGUCAGUAGAACGUGGAAUUCGACGGUUUUCGAACCUUUUGUCUAAGUUUCGAAUCUUCCUUAGUUUCGAAAAAACUACAAGAAGUUGCCUGGUAGUGGUAGGAUUAGAUGUCUUUUCAAUUCCAGAAGGAUGAAAGCAUGAUCACUUGACGUUGCCCUUUCCAAAAGAAAAUCUGAAACAAGAGCAGACGAGGCUGGUAGUAUAUUCGCUACAAGGUACAACAGCCAUGCAGUUGUUUCACUUGGCAUUGCUACUGGCAACAAUCUUCGUUGCAUUUGGCACCUUUCUGCUUAGUUCCAAAACCAAAGAUGCAAACGGUUUAAAUCAUGUCCAACCGCUUGUUAAAAGGAUCCUUCCUGCAAGAAACCCGUGGGAUGGUGUCCCUGAAUUUGUGCUCUACUUGAGGCUAACAUCUGGUUUACGAUGGGAACAAGAGUAUAGAAAUGAUUUGAUUCGCACUAUGAACCUUUUCUUUCCUUAUGAGAGAGCCAAACUUUUAGUUGUGUUGGACAAUGAGAAAGAUGAAGACCAUUUGUUUGGUGACAAAAUAAAAGGAGAAUGGCCUUAUCCACGAGUAUGCUACAGAGACCCAAGUGCCGUCGAUGCUUACCGUGGGAGGGGCAAGGCCAGGAUGUUUUGGGACAUGAUGUAUCCCGAUGAAUGUACCAAUGUCUCUUACGUAGGGUACGUUGACACUGAUACAUUUUUUAGCACCUUAGUAACACCGCAGUUGCUAUUUGAAAAUGGAAAACCAAUCAUUAUCGCAAAGAUUGGCCAAGUUCCAUACCAAUGUUGGGCAGAGACAACAGAGUUGUUUCUUGGCAAAAAGGAAGUUAUGCAGUGCAUGUCCACUUUCCCUGUCAUGAUCAAAACAGAACAUAUGAAAGAAAUGAGGGAGUUUCUUGCAAGAAGCCAUAACACAGAUUUCGAUUUAGUUUUCAAGAAUUCCGCUGCAGGAAAUGAAACACUUUGUAUCUGUCAAUUUAGCAUAAUGUGCAAUUAUAUUUGGUACUACCACAGAGAUGCCUAUUCAUGGCGUUUGCAGAUGGUCCCAAAUGGUGAUUGGACAGGAGAACAUUUGUCUUCCAGUCAAGUGUCACCAGACUAUUAUCGAUCUAAUAUGCCACCAAAGAUGCUGGUACCGAUGCCAAGAUCAUCAAUCCACCUAAGGUACACAAUAACAAAUGGUAAAAUCUAUGACAAAAGGGAGCCUCCUAAAGAAAGCAUAGACAAUUUCAUCAAAGAGGGACUUUGCUAUUCAGCUGGAUUUGAUGUAUGUCCAGAAAACUGCAAAAGAUGGCUAAGGAAUAACACGCAUUACAAUCUUUUUUCCUUUGAAACUUAUCAAUGGCUUUGGGACAAAAGAUGCAAGGAGCAACAAGAUAAGCAUUAUAGAAACGUUAAAGAAUUAGUGAACUACUACGUGUCUUCAAAAAAGGAAAUAUUUGGACUGGCCUCUAUAGACAAACUGUGCACUUUAAUAUGAAAAUUCAUCCACCUUCCUUCAUUUGGUAAUUCGGACAAUCAGUUGUCAUAUCGGACAAAAUGUUCCAGCACUCGCUUAAAAGACCGGUUGUAGAAACGAUGAAUUUGUCAACGAAGCUUCAAGUUUCCGGACGAUCUUCAAAACUACAAUCAAUUUACUAAAUAUAUAUAUACAACAUACACAAUAAAUAUACAUCAUGUCCCUAAUAUAUACUAGAUUGUGUUUCGCACAGUAUAAAGUUUUUAAAUGGACUGAAAUGUUCGAGAGGAGUAUAAUAUUUUGCAAGUUAAAUCAUUCAAGAGGACUACUACUUUAAGUGGACUAAGAUGUUGAGAGGGCAAUAAUGUUUUAAGACGACUCCAACAUUUAAGAAGACUGCAAUAUUUAGAAGACUAAAAUAUUACAUAGGACUAAAAUAGUUAAGAGGGUUUUAAUAUUAAAGAUGGCAAAUACAGUAUUCGCCGACCACCACUUUAAGAAUUUUCUUUUUUGAAAGGACUUCAAAUAAACGAUUUCAUUUGUAUGCGCCAGUAGUCGCUUUAAAUCAAAUGCUAUAGAGACAUGUAAGCUUUUUGUGGCUGGCUAAUUGUUUUUCACAUUUUAUAUUGUAAAUGGGAUGAGCCCAAAGACCCUUUUUUAAAAUCUGCUUUUAAAUCUGUAUAUCAUUAUAGUACUUCGAAUUAAGAAGUUUUAAACUAAGCAGCUCACUUGGAGCGAUAUCUGCGAAGUCCUUCAUAAGCAUUUAAGUAUUUAUUUUCUUAAGACGUUUAGCUUUCAAUCUUCUUGCUUUGGUCAAUAUAAGGUUUGAAAAUGCCCUAUCAGCCCUCCACGAUGUCAAACUAAUGAGAGCGCAAUUUUAACCGGCUUAGGAAAUGAAGAAUCUGAUAAAAAGCCAGGUCGUACCUGAUACUUUUCAAUAACCCACCAAUUAAAUUUUGAAAAUUCUAGGAAAGGGUGGCUAUAUAUCUGGUAUUUUCUGAUUAUAGAAAUACCUUUAGAAAUAGUGCAACCCUUUUACCUAAAUGUUGAAAUAACCCUUUCCAUGGCAUAAGUAAAAUCAUCUGCUGUCGGCCUUGUUAUAGAAUCAUCAUAUAUGAUAUCAUCAUCUUCUUGGCUGCCAUUUAGCACCUUAUGUGCAAAGAGGCUGCUUUUAGCACUUUGUUACAUCAUUUGAACAAUCAAUGGCAUAUGUGUUAAUUUCACAUUGCACUUACAUUUUUAAUUAUUUAGGCACGCUAGCCCCGUCACUCCACGAGAACUGCUUUUCAGGGGGACGUGACAAAAACAUCAAUAAGUAAAAAGAUAGAUACUACGACACAGUAGCAGAUUCAGGGUGUCGCACAGGUCACAUGGAAGACCGUCAGAUUUUCAGAAUUUAGUUUUCGUCUUCAGUCAUUGAAAUUAGGCAAUCAUGUUUACCACAACCUUUUUAUUUUUUUCCUUACAGAUAAUACAUUCACCUCUCUUUACACAAUAAACACAGGACCAACAGGGUCGAUCGCACCUCAUGUACAAUGCUAUGAUUUUAUUCAAUAUAGAAGAAAUUCAUAAAACAUCCUAGACCGUGAACAGUAUGAUUUUUAAGCAUGUCGCCCGUGCCGCACAAAUUUGCAGGGCUCUUUGUUAUGCAAAUAUUUUACUAAAUCUCACCAAUCAAAAUUCGAGUUUUCACAUAUUUGUGCGGCACUGAAAGUGUGUAAAUACUAUGUUAGAUUAUUGUGCCGCACAACUGCUGGCAAGGGAAGGGAAGAAAGUGGAUGAGGUUAGAAAUUGUGAAAAAGAAGAUUUCUAAUUUUCUUUAUCUAUACGAAAGAGGUGCACAGGAGGUGUACACUUCUGAAUCUCAAGAUAUUUUGUUUCAUCCGCGUGUUGGAUUUGCUGGGAAAUUUGGAAAACCUUUUAAAGGGGAAAAUGUUUGACUGGACAAUUUGAACGUUUCAGGGCCCCAGUCCCGUCGCCACUCUCAAAACUACCACAAGGCCUGCGAACCUCGUUGGUGUCGCAACUUCCGCUCCUAAAGAGAAGGGCGUCCAAAUGAGGCCUUUCAUCGACCAAAGUGUAUCAGUCUUGCUUAGCGGGAAAAAUCGCAGUUAGAAAGCAAACGCUUACAAGACAAAUAAUAUUCUAGACCAAAAUUCAAGAUGACUUGUUUGAACGAGGUGAAAUUGUUUCUUUUAUCUAUAGUGCAGAGGCGGAUCCAGAGUGAGUUCCUUGAUGCACAGAACUCAGUCAGUUUUCCAACAUACAGCUAAAAAUAGUGUUGCCUGAAACAAGUAAUAUUUAAAUUAAAAAAUUGAAACCUAAAAAGUUUUAUCACAGUCUCUUCAAAAUCUUAAAAUUGCCAGUUUCUUCUCUGUCGUGAUUUGAAACGAUUUUCCGAUUAGAGGACAACAGCAGUCUAGAACUCGGAAAUAAACGUUUUGUGCCUCGGAAGUGAAUGAAUUGAAACAAUGAAAUUUUUGUUUGGAACACGGAUGGAACUCAGUCAAAACAGCAUCUGGAACUCGGAAAUGAUACCAUAUUUGUAAGAGCUGUACAAUGGCCCGUAGUUGAUUGACUACCGAUUGUUUUUGUUCUAUUGUGGAACUGAAAAACAUUGAAUUCGAAAUGGCGACUGCAGAUGUCUUAGACUCACGACCAUCGCAUCAUUCUAGCAGAUUAUUAAGCGUUUGGGAUAAAACCAGGCGUUUAAGGAUUUAUAAAAGUGAUUAGUCCUUCAAAGUUCUUCACAUUCUUGACAGGGAUUUGUUAGACUUUGCUCCUAGAAGAAUGGACUAGAUUAAUCACAGCCAGGCUUGUUCCAAGAAAUGAAAUAACUGCCAACGCGCCCUUCCAUUGAAUAUCAGUAGGUGAUAUUUGUUACACUGAUGGAUGUUUUGAAUCUUUCAAGACUUGCAUUCAAUCUCUUGGUGUCUCAACAGAAAUCCUUGUUUGUGUAGAAACAGUUAGUUAAAGUACAGACAGACAAAGGGGCCUGCGGAAACUUAUUAAGGACUUUGUUGGACGUGAUCUAUCCAUUUAAUGUUUGUUAAAGAUCAGACUUGUAUCUAGUGUCUUUCCUUUAUGUUGGACCAGAACUAGCUUGUUGGAAACAGAUGGCUCAAAUGAGAUUCACCUGAAGUUUAUUUCUCUUAGUCUUUUUCAAGGAGAAAUAUACAGCUUCACAAGAUAAUUUUUUUCUUAACUUUCUUUAGAGUUGGUAAACGUACACUACUAUACUAGCUAUACUAAAGCUAACUAAAACCAACUAAUUAUAUCAACAAUAACCGUAUUUAACAACGCAACAAUAAGAUGCAUCAAUGUACAGUAAGUUCCCCGUCAUUUUAUAUAGCCCACUUAUCCUAUAAAUGGUUUACAAAUGCGGCAUGAGUAAGAAAUCGCAAACAUAGUUUUGAUACUUGCUUUAAACGUUUUUAUAUUUGAGGUUGAGGUUUUUUCUAUGGGAAUUGAGUUCCAUACUUCUUGACAUCUGUAAGAUACAGUGUCUAAUUCGCAUGCUAUGCUAUGCUAUGGUUAUUUCGAAGGCCAUGUUGCUAUCAUAGAUUCUAGAAGUUCCACGUAAAGUUUGUCUCAUAUUCUUUAUAGAAAUAUAGGAGGCUCUCUUAGUGAGUUGGAAUAAAAAAUUUUUCAGGAAAAAGAAAAGCGUCUUGCAUAUUUCUGAUAGUGGAUCAGAAACUGCAAUCCAGGCCAAGCAGUGCUUGAAUUUUUAUAAACAAAAGAAUAAAAAAAAAAGCCUAAUGAAGAAUUCUAAAUUUUCUUCAAAACUAGUCUUUUUAACCUAGAAAGGCUUUAUUAAACAUUUAAAUAUGACCCCCGAGCUCUUCUUUUUAUAUGGCAUGCAUACCUUAAUUCGCAUUUUUGUUGGAUCCAAUAAAAAAUUUAUCUCAAUUUUCAAAAAUCCUUAAAAAAUGCCCUUGUCUUUUACAAUUGUUUAUCUAAUUUAUCUCACUUCUUUCGUCUAGCUUUACCAAUGUAGAGGAGUUGAUUCCAUAAUUUUUUGUCCCUUUGGUGCAAAAGCGACAUCAAAGAGACUUUAUCAGAAAAUCAAAGCACUCUUCUCUCACUGAUUUUAGUUUCUGUACCGAUGCGCCAAGCAUUAAGGACAGCUUUCGAAAUUAAAAGAGGAAGCAUAAAAAAUCAAGAAUGCAUUAACUGAGGAAGACAAUAUGUAGGAGAACAAUGAACAAUGAGCAAAUUAUUAGCUUACGGAGUUAGAGGCUGUAAGUACAUAGAGACUGAUAUGAAGCAAGAGAAAGAAGUAGCAAGAGAAAUCGCUGCUAUUAUCUUUGACGGAGUGCGACAUAUCACUUUGCAAAGCGAACCUUUUCAUGAACACAUCCUUAAUCUAGGAAUAGUCUCUUGAAAUGAUAACGCUUAUCGCCAAGUUCCAUGCACCACUCAAAAAGUGGCUCGACAGCAAAUCUUAAAACAUUUCCUAGCUAAGCCUUGAUAUUCAGAACCAGAUGACAGGUAUAAUUACUGAUUAUACAUGGUAAAAUUCACGAGGAAAUGCAUUGUGGCGCAGCGUCAAGGCAUGCUAGUAAUUCGCCACACGCACUGUAAAAUUUGACCUAAAACAUUUUUUAAGCAGUAUUAUUUUUGUAAAAAAACAUUUUUUGAGGAGUAAUUCAAAUCUGUAACACCUAUGAUCAACUAAUUUUUACCCUGAAAGGUUAUUACCCUGAAAGAAAUUUAUUAAACUUCGUAUCUCUCUUUCUAAAGAUCAUCUUCUAUUAAAAUUAGCCCUUUGCUAGCAAGUUUUGUUUGCAGAACUUCUAGUUUUCAGGUAUGCCGAAUUCUGACCGCGCUCCCUGUUGAAUUGAAGUGAAUGCUUGUAUCAACACUGGCUUAACUAAAUUAAAAUAAACAAUAAUAGCAUGACUUUUUCCAUCAACAGAUCUUACUUUUGAUGACAUAGCUAGUUACCGAAGCAUUACCAUUGACAUAGUUACUGAAAAAUGCCAAAGGAAUGUUAUUUUUUCAUUUAAAAUACCUUUUUACACAAUAAGAACCCGCUUAAAUGUGGCAUCUUGUUGGCAGAGCCGUCGGCAUUGAAACAAGAGCAGGCGAGGCUGGUAGUAUAUUCGCUACAAGGUACAACAGCCAUGCAGUUGUUUCACUUGGCAUUGCUACUGGCAACAAUCUUCGUUGCAUUUGGUAUCUUUCUGCUUAGUUCCAAAACCAAAGAUGCAAACGAUUUAAAUCAUGUCCAACCGCUUGUUAAAAGGAUCCUUCCUGCAAGAAACCCGUGGGAUGGUGUCCCUGAAUUUGUGCUCUACUUGAGGCUAACAUCUGGUUUACGAUGGGAACAAGAGUAUAGAAAUGAUUUGAUUCGCACUAUGAACCUUUUCUUUCCUUAUGAGAGAGCCAAACUUUUAGUUGUGUUGGACAAUGAGAAAGAGGAAGACCAUUUAUUUGGUGACAAAAUAAAAGGAGAAUGGCCUUAUCCACGAUUAUGCUACAGAGACCCAAGUACCGUCGAUGCUUACCGUGGGAGGGGCAAGGCCAGGAUGUUUUGGGACAUGAUGUAUCCCGAUGAAUGUACCAAUGUCUCUUACGUAGGGUACGUUGACACUGAUACAUUUUUCAGCACCUUAGUAACACCGCAGUUGCUAUUUGAAAAUGGAAAACCAAUCAUUAUCGCAAAGAUUGGCCAAGUUCCAUACCAAUGUUGGGCAGAGACAACAGAGUUGUUUCUUGGCAAAAAGGAAGUUAUGCAGUGCAUGUCAACUUUCCCUGUCAUGAUCAAAACAGAACAUAUGAAAGAAAUGAGGGAGUUUCUUGCAAGAAGCCAUAACACAGAUUUCGAUUUAGUUUUCAAGAAUUCCGCUGCAGGAAAUGAAACACUUUGUAUCUGUCAAUUUAGCAUAAUGUGCAAUUAUAUUUGGUACUACCACAGAGAUGCCUAUUCAUGGCGUUUGCAGAUGGUCCCAAAUGGUGAUUGGACAGGAGAACAUUUGUCUGCCAGUCAAGUGUCACCAGACUAUUAUCGAUCUAAUAUGCCACCAGAGAUGCUGGUACCGAUGCCAAGAUCGUCAAUCCACCUAAGGUACACAAUAACAAAUGGUAAAAUCUAUGACAAAAUGGAGCCUCCUAAAGAAAGCAUAGACAAUUUCAUCAAAGAGGGACUUUGCUAUUCAGCUGGAUUUGAUGUAUGUCCAGAAAACUGCAAAAGAUGGCUAAGGAAUAACACGCAUUACAAUCUUUUUUCCUUUGAAACUUAUCAAUGGCUUUGGGACAAAAGAUGCAAGGAGCAACAAGAUAAGCAUUAUAGAAACGUUAAAGAAUUAGUGAACUACUACGUGUCUUCAAAAAAGGAAAUAUUUGGACUGGCCUCUAUAGACAAACUGUGCACUUUAAUAUGAAAAUUCAUCCACCUUCCUUCAUUUGGUAAUUCGGACAAUCAGUUGUCAUAUCGGACAAAAUGUUCCAGCACUCGCUUAAAAGACCGGUUGUAGAAACGAUGAAUUUGUCAACGAAGCUUUCCGGACGAUCCUCAAAACUACAAGCAAUUUACUAAAUAUAUAUAUAUACAACAUACACAAUAAAUAUACAUCAUGUCCCUAAUAUAUACUAGAUUGUGUUUCGUACAAUAUAAAAUUUUUAAAUGGACUGAAAUGUUCGAGAGGAGUAUAAUAUUUUGUAAGUUAAAUCAUUCAAGAGGACUACUACUUUAAGUGGACUAAGAUGUUGAGAGGGCAAUAAUGUUUUAGGACGACUCCAACAUUCAAGAAGAUUGCAAUAUUUAGAAGACUAAAAUAUUACAGAGGACUAAAAUAGUUGAGAGGAUUUUAAUAUUAAAGAUGGCAAAUACAGUAUUCGCCGACCACCACUUUCAGAAUGUUCUUUUUUGAAAGGACUUCAAAUAAACGAUUUCAUUUGUAUGCGCCAGUAGUCGCUUUAAAUCAAAUGCUAUAGAGACAUGUAAGCUUUUUGUGGCUGGCUAAUUGUUUUUCACAUUUUAUAUUGUAAAUGGGAUGAGCCCAAAGACCCUUUUUUAAAAUCUGCUUUUAAAUCUGUAUAUCAUUAUAGAGGACUACUACUUUAAAGAGGCAGAUAUCUCUUUAAAGAGAACACCCUCUCUGACAUGAUCAGUAAAACACCUCCAUGUUGAUUUCGAUCAAACCUGACGGGUUUUGAAAAGCCAUCUAGUAAAAACUGACUGGUUGUAAAUGUUUCAUCAAAUUUUGUCUCUGCAAUAGCAAAUAUAUAAACAUUAUUAGCUACAAGGGGUCUUAGAAAUUCAAAUUUGUUUCUGAUUAAGUUAAUAUUUAGGUAGGCAAUUUUUAGGCCGUUGUGGUUUUUCGUCCUGAUAGCUUCCAAAGAACUGUCAUCAGAGGCUUCAUUCACAGAUUCGUAAGGUUGUGCAUUAGUUCAAUUGUUUCCAUAGUUAAUAUUAUCAAAAUGUGAGUCAGACGGGGAAGACGAGGGAAGGACGACGGAAGGACACCGCCACAGGGCAGCCCGGCCCAUUUUUACAACGAUUCACUUCCAAACAAGAAGAAUCAAGUUUUCAAUGGCGUCUAUCAAAUCCAGAUUUGCAGGUCGUUGAAAAUCUUUGGCUUCGCAAGAAAAACAAUAUGCACCACGAUUUAAAUGGUUCUUUAGGAACCAAAUAAUCGUUAAAUAAACGAAUUGUUCAGGUUUGACACGAAAUUCCACAAUAAUCCAGUGGCAAAUUACAUCCUACGAACUCAAGAAGGCUAAAAGUGGUUUCAAAAGCUUGCAGCUUACGUCAAAAUGCUACAAAUUGAAACUUUAAAAGACGUUUCUUAUUGUAAUUUUUUUAAAAAGUGCUCUAAAAGAUCGAAGUUUUAAUUGGUGAUUGUUUCACCUC